UGGACAACGCUAGCCCGCACUUCCUGGAGCCUACCAAUCAGGGGGCUCAUCCGGCCUCCCGACAAAUUGGGGGCGGCCCUUAAACCCGAGCCGCAUCCUGCGGCCUCACUAUUGGCCGCCGGCCAUCGCCUUGUCAGCUGAUUGGACACAGCGGGUGUCCGUCAGGGUCACGCCGGGCACGCAGAGGCGGAACGCGUACGGAAGACGACUUCCCUCCGGGGCGCAGACGGGCCUGCCGGGAGACUCCGGGGUGGCCGCCUGUCUCCCGAGGGCGGACGGGCUCCGAGGAUCGCCGGGAAGGAGGCACUUCCAGGCGAAGGUUCCGGUUCCGGUUCCGGUUCCGUUGCCGUGGCAACGCGCUACGCGGUGCUGUUGCCACGGUGAUGAUGACUGUGCCCAGUGUCGUUAUCUAUCGACCAACAGUAAGAGAAGCUCUGCAGUCAGGAUAUUGUUCAACAGACGGAGUGCUUUCUGUUGGACACUAAGCGCUGCUACAAAUUCAUGGAUUCAAGGUAAAUCCGAGCAACAAGCACCAUGAGCACAAAUAAUAUAGGAAAUGGGGGUGCUGAAGUCCAGGUGUUGUUGCAGAAGAGCAGCAUCUGGUGUACUUACCGUAGAGAAUAUAUGAUUUCCCAAACCGCCCAACUUUUCCUCGAGAGACGAGCUCGCAAGACUUAGAUUCCGAAGAGGCGGAGACGUGCGACAGUGAGUAACCGUGGCUUGGAAGCAGAGUCGGCUUUCUUGGUUGUCAGACAUUUUAUUAAACUGAGAACAGAGCUGUGGUUAAAGAUUACGAGUAACCCUGACCAGAGAGAAUACAGAGCCUGUUUUUUCGAACUUACAGUAAGUAGAGUUGCUGCAUGCAGUAGAGUGUAAGAACAUAGGUGACACCUCAGGAUAUGGGAAAGCACGUCGCUGCUCUUUCAGGACACGCAGUAGGACGGCUUUGAUAGCAUGAUCAAGGGCAGGAAGACAAAUCAGGUAGCUAGGCCAAGGAAAUUAAAACAGUGGGUCUCAAUUUUAAGCUUUUAAUAAAGUAACCAAAAAUAUAAAACCUUA
Long non-coding RNA from Nyctereutes procyonoides (raccoon dog), 1059 nucleotides. RefSeq lists it as uncharacterized. The record is from RefSeq and is a predicted model, not a curated record. The transcript has 4 exons. Lineage: Eukaryota; Metazoa; Chordata; Mammalia; Carnivora; Canidae.